RNAcentral lists this non-coding RNA (29 nucleotides) under Mus musculus (house mouse). Lineage: Eukaryota; Metazoa; Chordata; Mammalia; Rodentia; Muridae. The record is from RNAcentral.
UCCCNGAACAGAUGGAGCAAAGACCUCAU